CGGGUGAGUAAUACAUCGGGAACGUGUCCUGUAGUGGGGGAUAGCCCGGCGAAAGCCGGAUUAAUACCGCAUACGAUCUACGGAAGAAAGCGGGGGAUCUUAGGACCUCGCGCUAUAAGGGCGGCCGAUGGCAGAUUAGCUAGUUGGUGGGGUAAAGGCCUACCAAGGCGACGAUCUGUAGCUGGUCUGAGAGGACGACCAGCCACACUGGGACUGAGAUACGGCCCAGACUCCUACGGGAGGCAGCAGUGGGGAAUUUUGGACAAUGGGGGAAACCCUGAUCCAGCAACGCCGCGUGUGUGAAGAAGGCCUUCGGGUUGUAAAGCACUUUUGUCCGGAAAGAAAACUUCCUGGUUAAUACCUGGGGAGGAUGACGGUACCGGAAGAAUAAGCACCGGCUAACUACGUGCCAGCAGCCGCGGUAAUACGUAGGGUGCGAGCGUUAAUCGGAAUUACUGGGCGUAAAGCGUGCGCAGGCGGUUCGUUAAGAUAGAUGUGAAAUCCCCGGGCUUAACCUGGGAACUGCAUUUGUGACUGGCGAGCUAGAGUAUGGCAGAGGGGGGUAGAAUUCCACGUGUAGCAGUGAAAUGCGUAGAGAUGUGGAGGAAUACCGAUGGCGAAGGCAGCCCCCUGGGCCAAUACCGACGCUCAUGCACGAAAGCGUGGGGAGCAAACAGGAUUAGAUACCCUGGUAGUCCACGCCCUAAACGAUGUCAACUAGUUGUUGGGGAUUCAUUUCCUUAGUAACGUAGCUAACGCGUGAAGUUGACCGCCUGGGGAGUACGGUCGCAAGAUUAAAACUCAAAGGAAUUGACGGGGACCCGCACAAGCGGUGGAUGAUGUGGAUUAAUUCGAUGCAACGCGAAAAACCUUACCUACCCUUGACAUGGUCAGAACCCUGCUGAAAGGUGGGGGUGCUCGAAAGAGAACCGAUACACAGGUGCUGCAUGGCUGUCGUCAGCUCGUGUCGUGAGAUGUUGGGUUAAGUCCCGCAACGAGCGCAACCCUUGUCCUUAGUUGCUACGCAAGAGCACUCUAAGGAGACUGCCGGUGACAAACCGGAGGAAGGUGGGGAUGACGUCAAGUCCUCAUGGCCCUUAUGGGUAGGGCUUCACACGUCAUACAAUGGUCGGAACAGAGGGCUGCCAACCCGUGAGGGGGAGCUAAUCCCAGAAAACCGAUCGUAGUCCGGAUCGUAGUCUGCAACUCGACUACGUGAAGCUGGAAUCGCUAGUAAUCGCGGAUCAGCAUGCCGCGGUGAAUACGUUCCCGGGUCUUGUACACACCGCCCGUCACACCAUGGGAGUGGGUUUUACCAGAAGUGGCUAGUCUAACCGCAAGGAGGACGGUCACCACGGUAGGAUUCAUGACUGGGGUGAAGUCGUAACAAGGUAGCCGUAUCGGAAGGUGCGGCUGGAUCACCUCCUUUCUCGAGCUCAACGUUUCAAAGUGAAGUGCUAAAGCGCUCACGCUUAUCGGCUGUAAGAAGACAGGCUAAGGGUCUGUAGCUCAGCUGGGAAAGCACGUGCUUUGCAAGCAGGGGAUCGUCGGUUCGAUCCCGUCAUCCUCCACCAAUCAUCAAUGCACAGUACUCUUAAGCGAAGAGUUUAAGUAAAGAGUGGUGCGUAUUGGCGAUUGAGCCAGUCAGUAAGCAGCUUAAAGCAUAGCGCUUUAAGUUGUGCUGUCGUUCUUUAACAAUCUGGAAGAAGUAGUAAAGGUCAUUUGAAAGCGCCCAGAGAUGGGCGUGAUUAAGAUGAUCAGGGUUGUGAUUGUAUCAAUGUAUGAAAAGGUGAUCGAAAGAUUGCUUUGGAAUACGGCGCAACACGGAUACUCAACCUAUAGCGGGGUGAAAGAGUUUCCACGGAUGCUGAGUUUCGGUUCGGUGUAGGUGGGAUGCUCGGAGACACACUCGUUAUAGGGUUAAGCGAACAAGUGCAUGUGGUGGAUGCCUUGGCGAUCACAGGCGAUGAAGGACGCGGUAGCCUGCGAAAAGCGACGGGGAGCUGGCAAACGAGCUUUGAUCCGUCGAUGUCCGAAUGGGGAAACCCGGCCCUUCUGGGUCAUCCUGAGCUGAAUACAUAGGCUCAGUGAAGCGAACGCGGUGAACUGAAACAUCUAAGUAACCGCAGGAAAAGAAAUCAACCGAGAUUCCCAAAGUAGUGGCGAGCGAAAUGGGAUCAGCCUGUACUCUUUAGCACGACCGUUAGCCGAACACUCUGGAAAGUGUGGCCAUAGCAGGUGAUAGCCUUGUAGGCGGAAGCGGAUGUGUGGAACUAGGUGUACGACAAGUAGGGCGGGACACGUGAAAUCCUGUCUGAAGAUGGGGGGACCAUCCUCCAAGGCUAAAUACUCGUGAUCGACCGAUAGUGAACCAGUACCGUGAGGGAAAGGCGAAAAGAACCCCGGGAGGGGAGUGAAAUAGAUCCUGAAACCGCAUGCAUACAAACAGUCGGAGCCUUUGCGAAGGGGUGACGGCGUACCUUUUGUAUAAUGGGUCAGCGACUUACGUUCAGUAGCAAGCUUAACUGAUUAAGGCAGGCGUAGCGAAAGCGAGUCCGAAUAGGGCAUUCAGUUGCUGGGCGUAGACCCGAAACCAAGUGAUCUAUCCAUGGCCAGGUUGAAGGUGCGGUAACACGUACUGGAGGACCGAACUCACUAAUGUUGAAAAAUUAGGGGAU
RNAcentral lists this ribosomal RNA (2678 nucleotides) under uncultured bacterium. Its description in RNAcentral is "partial contains 16S ribosomal RNA, 16S-23S ribosomal RNA intergenic spacer, and 23S ribosomal RNA". The stretch from base 1 to 1429 matches the Rfam family "Bacterial small subunit ribosomal RNA". The record is from RNAcentral.